RNAcentral lists this ribosomal RNA (252 nucleotides) under uncultured bacterium. Its description in RNAcentral is "partial 16S ribosomal RNA". It matches the Rfam family "Bacterial small subunit ribosomal RNA", at positions 355 to 597 of the family's 1533-position model. The record is from RNAcentral.
UAGGGAAUCUUCGGCAAUGGACGAAAGUCUGACCGAGCAACGCCGCGUGAGUGAAGAAGGUUUUCGGAUCGUAAAACUCUGUUGGUAGAGAAGAACGUUGGUGAGAGUGGAAAGCUCAUCAAGUGACGGUAACUACCCAGAAAGGGACGGCUAACUACGUGCCAGCAGCCGCGGUAAUACGUAGGUCCCGAGCGUUGUCCGGAUUUAUUGGGCGUAAAGCGAGCGCAGGUGGUUUUAUUAAGUCUGGUGUAA